GGAAGCACAGCAACAGCUAGGUCAUGCAUUGUGCUAAACAGGAAGGGAAUGUAUUUCUGUUAAAGAAAAAUGAGAAGAGGAGGGCAGGGGAAGAAUUAGAGGUGAACAAAAACAGGUUGAAAGAAAAUGAACAGGAAGGGGAAGCAUGGAAGAAGAGAAGCAGCUUAUCUAAUGACUGCACAUCAUAAUUUUAGUUCUCCCUUUGUAGAUAAAUAAUUACAUCUCCCCUCUUACAAAUGCAUUUAACCAGUGGGGAUGCAAUAAUAUCAGUGCUGAUUAAGCUGUUCUUGUGUGAGGGAAGUGUUUUUGUGGUAGACAUCCUUUACACCAGGGGAACUGUAUGAGGUGUGUUAUGAUUUAACUGUUUGAAGAGAAGAAUUUUCCCUCGAGCAGAAAUGUAUAGGGACCAUAUGUACUUUUUCUCUCUAAGGAUACAUGGUCUUGAUCCUACAGAUCAAGCUACCAGUGGAUGUUGGGGUGGGUGAACAUCAUGUGCUGGUUUGCAGUGACUGGUGUAGCAUGUUGAAAUGGCAGCUGUUUCUUUAGGUCUCGGGAAGGGCCAACUGGUGCAUCUUCUCCUUGUGGGGAGCACCACACAUUCACCAAUCACCUGUUCUCAAUGAAUCCCCCAGAGCUCAUUUCCCUACAGUCUGGAGUGGAAUUAAAGAAGCCUCCACACACAUGGUCCUCUCAGUGGUGAGGACAGCAAGGGAGGUGUCCUGAGGGAGCCAGUCAUUGUCCUUAGCUGGGGUAACAGAUCUGUGCUUCAGCAUCAAGCAUGCAGGUACAUCUGUGCUGGGCCCUGGGGCCUAAAAGUGUCCAGCAGCCCCAGUGUGGUUGCAGAACCACUCUGGUGCCCAAGAUGUCCAUGCUAUAAACAGUGCUGUGCUGGCACCAGAUUUAUUUCCACAGCAGGCUUUAAACCUCCAUCCCGUAAUCAAGAUGUGGGCCCAGCCUCGCCUGUUUGCACAGCCAAGACUCUGUGCAUUAGCGUACAUCUCUUUUAGUUUCAUUUUGUCUUUGUGGGCCUUUAACAGGGCCUUUAAGACGUGACUGUACUAUCCUACCAUGGCUGAGGAAUUUAUAUUAAUUUAGCAGUUAGGCAGGUACACUACACAAAUGGGUGUAAGAGGUGGCAGAAAGGGCUUUGUUAAACACUUUCAGCAUGUGGUAAGGACAAAUGAAGGGUGCUUUCUAUCUGUCCUCGCUCCACCCCCUCUUGAGAGCCUGGGAUUCCAUGAGGUGUGUUUUGGAUGAAUGUAGACUUGAAUAAACAUAGUUAUUUUUCUUGUCUGCCGCUAAGACGACAAUGUUCCAUUGAUAUGUUUGACAGCCUCAAGUAACUGACAAUUAUUUCACAUGUGCAGUGUUUAUCUCCGUGGUAUGCUGUGUGACAGCUUGGAAGUGACACCGAUGUUCAGUGUGAAUCUCUCUAUCUCCCCAGCGAGCUGUCGGGAGAGCCUGCAACAUUUUAAAAACACUCCCUGGUUCUUGAAUUUGAACAGAGGCUCUCUAUUCCAAGCCACAUUAGGUAACAUCAUGUUUCAUUGCCCUUUUUAAUCCCUUGGGAGGACAGUAUGCAAAAGUGCAUCAGGAAGAGGUGACAAGGGAUUUAUAUAUUAGUACAAACUGAAACAAAUGCUCUUAAUUUUGGCCGCAUCAGUUUAGUGGAUAUCUUGCAAAAGCUCAUACUUUUUUUUUUUUUUUUUUUUUGAAAUUGGAAAGGAGUAGCAGAAUAGCAGCAUCCAUUAACAUGACUUAUGGGUAAAUACAGUGUAGGUCUUUCUACAUAAUGCUGCUAGUGUAGCUGAGUAGUCAUCCUCUUGUCAAUUUUUAUUCUGUUUGCAGAUUCCUUUGUCAAUGUGAGGAUCACUAUGAGCCUAAAACACCAUAGGACUUGAAAUUGUUUUACAGCUUUAAGAAUGUGUAAUCACAUAUGCUGAAUUUUCUGAUGAUUUCUUUCACUCUUCAUAGCUAAGUAGUUAAACUCUCAUUUGUGCUUUAUUUGAAAAGGGAUGAGCUUUUAUCUCAGACAGGUAAUGCAUAUGUUGCACAGGCACUUCAAGCCUCGGCUACAAAAUUACUGGAGAGGUACUGAAUGCUUUUUAUGAAAGUGAUUAAUACUCUGUAAAAGACACGUAUCAAAAGGCAGACAGUCAGUUUGAUGGAAGGAAGGUGGGAAAAAAUCCUAUCUGUUCAUUAGAGCACACUUUAAAAACAAAACCAAAAACCUUCUCCUGUUUACCACUUAGAGUAAAAUGUAGAGUGAUCUGUUUUCAAGUCAGAUUAGCUUUCCGAUUUUCAUGAGUAAGCAUAGUGCUUUGCAUUAUAAAGUCAGAGGCAAACUGUAACACAUUUGGAGUCUUUUUCCUUUUACAAAGUUAAUUCUUAGAAUUUUUGGCAAAUUGAUGGUUCAUUUGUCAGUGUCACCUUAAUCUGCAAAACAGAUAGUGAGCAACUCCUUCAUCCACUUUUUCUCAUCUUUGUUUAGAGAAAUGGAAGAAAAACGUGGUUUGCUGAGAUCUUUUAUGAAUUUAUCUAUUUUGUUGUCUGUAUUGUAAACAUUGCUUUUUGUGUCUGUAAUGUGGUAUGAAGUUUUUACUGUCAAAGGAACUUGUUAAAGCUGUAGCCAUUGCCAUGGUGAGAUUUUCUUCUAUACUGACAUUUAUGUUGACUGAAGAAUGCAGUCUUGUUAGUAAGACAAAUGGCUAAAUUGAGUGUGGUUGUGGAUUUAACUUUCUGUGUUUGGCAUAAAAGGAGUCUUUAAGGUCUGAAUUAUUCCAACCUUAAAACAAACAACAACAACAACAACAACAAAUAAAAAAAGGAAAACUUGCAACUAUUUAGACUGCAAAUUUAUUUCUCUCCUAUUAGCAGCUGAGAUUUAUUUUUCUGUUUAACUAGCUGGAUCUUUUGUUCGUGAGAAUUGGCAUCCUGCUGCGGUGUGGUAUGUGUCUAGUAGUGAAUGUGAACUUACAUUGUAAUGUCACGGCAGAGACAGCAGCAUGAUUUAUGACAACACUGGGCAACUGUUGAGCUUUGUGAAGCUUAGGCAGCCCACAGAGGUUCAGGGACGGGUGACCUUGGGUUUCCCUCUCCUGCUGCAGAAGUGAAACUUGGGGCUCAGCCACGAGGUAUGGGUUUGCAUAAUGGUCUGGUGCUGCUCUGGGCCGCCCCAGUGAUCCUGUGCUAUACUGUCCCUCCUGGGCAUGACCUGAGAACCGCGUAAUUCGACCUUGAAUAUUCCCUGGCUUCUGACUGCUGGUGACACAUGCGCCACCUCCAAGCAAUCUGUAAAGACUGCUGCCAAUGGCUGAGCAAUGGUGGUCAGCUGGGCUGCAGUGAUGUGUGCAGGGGGAAUUGCCUCUGCAGAAGCAAAUUCUCUGCUUUCAGCCACUACUGCAGGGUACUGGAUAGUGUGAGGACGCAUGUUGUCUGCUAAGGAUACAGGAGCAAGGUCAGACACACCAUGAAAAGCUACCAGGUGUGAACUGAUGCUGUGUAGAAACACCAGAGUGACAAAAUCUAUAGCAUUCAGAAUACCUGGGGUAGCCAGAGGCUGCGUUACCCAGGGUAAUGGCAGUUGGUUAGUAAAACUACACUUACAUAGCGUAACAGAGAUUGUUCUGCUUUAUCCCAUGUUUUUCAGAACUGUAAAAUACUUGCAGUAAUUCCUAGGUGGUCUCUUUAUGUGUGUGGUGAUGUCAACCACUUGGAGAAUUAACUUUGCUGAAGCUUGCAGCUGCUGAUUCAUCUGUUUAAAGAAGUCAAUUCUUAAUUUUCAGUGGGUAAUAAUUUUUCUCCCGUUGUACAACAGUUGAGGAGAAAGAGCUGGUUAUGAGGCUUAGCAUAGGUUACCACAGCAGAGGGUUUCCUUCCAGUUAUUUAACAUACUGUAUAUUUUAGUGGCUGCAAUAUACAGAAAGCUUCAGUUUCAUGUCUCUUCUUGGAACAAGUCCAGCUUGUGCUGUGAAAGUACAAUUCAGCACAAGUCCUUUUUGAAUAUUUAUUUAUUUUUAGUAUCCAAGAGUUCUGCAUGUGGUGUUCUGCGUCCUCAUGAGAAGAGUUGUAGCAGUGGUGCCUUGGCAUUAACAAAUGCCUUGAUAUCAGUAGUUCUUUGCCUUUUUUUUUUUUUUUUUUCCUUUUCUUUUAAAUUAUUCUUUUAAUUGGGUAACAAAGUAAAAGCACCCUCUGCCUUCAUGCUCUUAAAAUCCAGUUUUCCUCCUCUUCUCUCCCUGCUCCCAACACUCCCUUGGGAAUGAGAAGGAAUGGUGUCUCUGGCAAAGAAAUAGGUAGGGUUUGGUUGAAUGAAGUUGUCACACCAUGAUCAUCAACCGUAAAUGUUAGGCAGAAAACCUAGUCUUGCAACAGAUUAGAUUACUUGGAUGAACAAAUCUGAAAGUACUAAACAAAGGAGUAGAUUUAUCUUACGCAUCCAUGUCUUGGUGUGUAGAUAGAUAUUUCUUUGGCACUGUUUAAGUUUUGUAAGCAGCUAUCUAAGCUGCUUUUCAUACCAGAAGCAAUACGACCUCUCUGACUGAGCUGAUGAAUCCCGGUUCAAAAGUCAGAUCUAUUGUUUUAGCUAUUUGAACUAAUACUGUGUAACACUGCAUCAAGUUGAGAAGAUGCAGUUUUAGGUGUUAAAAGAUUAUGCUUUUAGUUAUAUGUGUGUGUACCUCCAUCUUCAGAAAUGAAAAAUGGGUUCCAAUAACUUGUGCUGUCAUGCUUGCCAGAAAAGAUGACUUCCCACUUAAUUUGCUGCUCUUUUGCUUGCUUAUUGUUGCCCCGAGAAAGGAGAGAUCUUCAAUGCCUAUGGAUUGAGUUCAAUGGAAAAUUCUGCUCUCUGACUCAAUGUAGUUUAAACUGAACAAUCCUAUGGUUGUUCAUGGUGCCAUGUUAUGGCUACACUCCAUCAGUAUGCUGUACCUCAUCCAUUUCUUACACAUUUAUUCUGUUGAACAUCUUUUAAUGCCAUCAUAAUUGUUACUUCUUGUCUUCAUAUUCCUGUGCAGGAAUGGAUGGGUCAACAGUUUACACAUAUGUGGAGUCAACGUAUGUUCUGAAAAAGAAUGAGAAGUCCAGAGCAAAGCAGAACAGCCUGUUCUCUUUUUUAGAAUUGAGCAAGGACAAUGAUUUGCUCAGUGUCUAACAUUUAUAAUAGUUUGUUCUCUAAUCUACAUAACUGCUGCAAAGAGGUAAAACAUGUUGUGCAUAAGUAGAUGUCUGACACAGUAAGUUAAACGUUGACAUUGUAAGAAUCCUAACUCCUGUGUAAUCAUCUUGGUGCAAACCCUGUGACAGCAUCAGGUUAGUUGUUUCCUUAGAGAUGUUGUAGAUUGCCGAUCUUCCUCCCCCCUACUAAGAAGUCAAUGCGUAUUUCCUGUUGUGCAAUAUAGUGCCUUUGUUUCCUUGGGGACUUGGGGAAAUGGCCCUAACUCUGUAACUAGAAACUUUAUAAAUGCUGUAGAACAAUACCUAUGGGGACAGCAUGAGGGGCUUGGAUGCAAUAAAAUUAAUCACCAUGACAAGGUCUACAUAAAAACUGUUUAGUAAAUGUUCUGAUAUAAGAGAAUGUAAAAUGGAACAAUUCCUUCCUUCCUUCACUGGUCUGAGAAGUCACUGCCCUGAAGAUGAAAGCAAUUGCUCAUUAAUUCCUUAGACAUACUUAAAAUAAUUAAAAA
Molecule: long non-coding RNA, 5681 nt
Organism: Oxyura jamaicensis (ruddy duck)
Lineage: Eukaryota; Metazoa; Chordata; Aves; Anseriformes; Anatidae
Exons: 2
Source: RefSeq, a predicted model, not a curated record